AUAAAUGAUUACAAAGCCCAGUCGAAUUGUAAUCAAGACCCAACGUUGGGUCUUGAUUACAAUUACGAAACGUUGGGUCUUGAUUACAAUUCGACUGGGCUUUGUAAUCAUUUAUUU
Non-coding RNA from Paramuricea clavata, 117 nucleotides. The record is from the annotation of a GenBank genome assembly. NCBI's taxonomy places the organism in Eukaryota, Metazoa, Cnidaria, Anthozoa, Malacalcyonacea, Plexauridae.